Molecule: ribosomal RNA, 440 nt
Filed under: uncultured bacterium
Lineage: Bacteria
Description: partial 16S ribosomal RNA
Rfam family: Bacterial small subunit ribosomal RNA
Source: RNAcentral
CCUACGGGAGGCAGCAGUAGGGAAUAUUGCUCAAUGGGGGAAACCCUGAAGCAGCAACGCCGCGUGAGGGAUGAAGGUUUUCGGAUUGUAAAGUCCUUUUGUUAGAGAAGAUAAUGACGGUAUCUGACUAAUAAGCACCGGCUAACUCCGUGCCAGCAGCCGCGGUAAUACGUAGGGGGCAAGCGUUACUCGGAUUCACUGGGCGUAAAGAGCGCGUAGGCGGGAUAGCAAGUCAGAUGUGAAAGGCUGUGGCUUAACCAUAGAACUGCAUUGGAAACUGUUAUUCUAGAGUAUAGGAGAGGUAGGUGGAAUUCUUGGUGUAGGGGUAAAAUCCGUAGAGAUCAGGAGGAAUACUAGUGGCGAAGGCGACCUGCUAGAACGUAACUGACGCUGAGGCGCGAAAGCGUGGGGAGCAAACAGGAUUAGAUACGCCUGUAGUC